Molecule: non-coding RNA, 746 nt
Organism: Callorhinus ursinus (northern fur seal)
Lineage: Eukaryota; Metazoa; Chordata; Mammalia; Carnivora; Otariidae
Source: RefSeq, a predicted model, not a curated record
CAGCAGCUCGGGCGGCGGGAGGAGCGGUAGCGGCCAGGCAGCCCAGCUUCGCGAAGGGUCUCGGCGCGCCGCGGCCCGCAGGCACCCGGCACGCGCCCGCCCCGCCGCCACGAUGCCCAAGAGGAAGGUCAGCUCCGCCGAGGGGGCGUCGAAGGAGGAGCCCAAGAGGAGGUCGGCGAGGUUGUCAGCUAAACCUGCUCCUGCAAAAGUGGAAACGAAGCCAAAAAAGGCGGCAGGAAAGGAUAAAUCUUCAGACAAAAGAGUGCAAACAAAGGGGAAAAGGGGAGCAAAGGGAAAACAGGCUGAAGUGGCUAACCAAGAAACGAAAGAAGACUUACCUGCAGAAAACGGAGAAACUAAAAAUGAGGAGAGUCCAGCCUCCGAUGAAGCAGGAGAGAAAGAAGCCAAGUCUGAUUAAUACCAUAAACCAUGUCUUAUCAGCGGUCCCUGUCGCCCUUCUUGUACAAUCCAGAGGAAUAUUUUUAUCAACUAUUUUGUAAAUGCAAGUUUUUUAGUAGCUCUAGAAACAUUUUUAAGAAGGAGGGAAUCCCACCUCAUCCCAUUUUUUAAGUGUAAAUGCUUUUUUUUAAGAGGUGAAAUCAUUUGCUGGUUGUUUAUUUUUUGGUACAACCAGGAAAUAGUGGGAUAUUGAAUGUGGGAGGCUUUGAUUGUCUUGGGUGUCAGCUCAACAUUCCAUAGCUGGGGUAGUUUUUAUAUCCUAUAAUACCAAGCAUACUAAAUGGCAA